This is a long non-coding RNA of Hippocampus zosterae (dwarf seahorse), 1566 nucleotides long. RefSeq lists it as uncharacterized. NCBI's taxonomy places the organism in Eukaryota, Metazoa, Chordata, Actinopteri, Syngnathiformes, Syngnathidae. The transcript is spliced from 8 exons. The record is from RefSeq and is a predicted model, not a curated record.
UCGUUUUAUGGGACACGACAUUAGAGUCCAUUGUGAGUUUUAUCGGCAGACCGAUAAAACUUUCCAAGUGGCCAAGAUUGCCAAACUACUGUUUGCGAUGGAACGUGGGACAGAGUCGCUGAAGGGAAAGAGUCUGCAAACCCUGGACUCUGUUAUCACUGGAAGAGCACAUGCAGCCACCUCAACCAAAGGUCUGAAAAGUGGCAAAAAGAGAAGACCAGAUCCAGGGAGACGACAGGAAGCUCAAGAUGAAUGAGAAGUGCCACAUUCAGCUGUAGCAACGAGAUCUGAUGAUGAAGAUGAUGGAGGCGGUAACAGUACCAACUUGGACACUGAAAACACAGGCACCUACAAAAGGCCACCGAAGAUGCAGUCAAUUAAAGAAAGAAAUUAUGCUGAUGACGACAUGAGUGAUGUUUCUGGCAGUGAAUAUGGCGAUGGAGGGGUGUGCCAUAAGACAGUUAAGAAGACUGUCAAGAAAAAAAAGACAAUGUUGGGAAGACAUGGAUUGGUCUAUGACGCAUCUUUCACACAUGGCCAAGAACAACCAUCAACAUCAGGGAGCGCCACCAAACGAAAGAGGAUUGCAACACUUACACAUGACGACGAUGAUGUUGAAGACAGCGAUGAAGAGGACAAAAAGACUGGACACAGAUCUCUUGGGAAGAAGAAGACAGCAGUUCGAAAAGAACAUAGUGAAGUUGAAUUGGAAACUAAAAAAAGGAAGAGACCCGGACUCCAAAGGAAAGAGCAGCAAUUGAUCGACACCUUUCAAAAUUUGUAGCAUUAAAGAAAGUUCCAAGGAAAGAUGACUGCGUUAAGUGUCGUAGUCAAGCAUCGCCAGACCUUGAAGACCGCACAUGGAGAGAUAUUCCACAAUGAAAUUAUUAAAAGAUAUGUAAUUGGGAAAAAAGCUUGAAGAUGAAAGAUAGAGAGAGGGAGAGACAUAGGGGGGAGAUAGAUGAAGGGAGAGAGGGAAUGGGAUGAGAGAGAGGGGAGAAAAGGAAUAGAGUUUGAAAGCACAGUUAUUUGGUAGGGUAUAUGUGGGUUCAUGUGUCAGGUUGUGGCGCAGCAAGUUUUUUUAGUGUGCGUUUUGAAGGUUGAAGUUUUUCAGGUGUUCUUGUAAGUUUUGAAUAAGAGUACUUUUGUUUGUCAAAAAUAAAUCAUAAAGUCAAGUCAGCUUUUAUUGUCAAAUAUGCUCUCUGUGUAAUGUACAGCACAGAUUAAAAUACUUUCCUCUCUCAGCCACAGUGCAAACAUGUGGCGUAUUGAACACACAAAUAUCAGAACUAAAUAAAACUAAAUAAAUGACAGUACCCAUAAAUUAAUGGUGAUAAACUGUUUAAAAAUAAUAUAUCUGAUUAUAAAUUUACAUCAUUAAAUGUUUAGUAAGGUGAACGGCACCUAAUCUACUUCAAAAUCAUUAAGAACGCAUGGCCAGUGCCCGGUCCUCACUUAUCUAGUUAAAAACUUUUUCUUAACCUUUGGUGUUUUAUUUAAUCUAAAGGAAUGUAUUGCCUAAGGGCGCCCUCCUGUGUCUAGAAAUGUGUCUUUUUCAUUUAUUUU